GAUGAACGCUGGCGGCGUGCCUAAUACAUGCAAGUCGAGCGAACGGACGAGAAGCUUGCUUCUCUGAUGUUAGCGGCGGACGGGUGAGUAACACGUGGAUAACCUACCUAUAAGACUGGGAUAACUUCGGGAAACCGGAGCUAAUACCGGAUAAUAUUUUGAACCGCAUGGUUCAAAAGUGAAAGACGGUCUUGCUGUCACUUAUAGAUGGAUCCGCGCUGCAUUAGCUAGUUGGUAAGGUAACGGCUUACCAAGGCAACGAUGCAUAGCCGACCUGAGAGGGUGAUCGGCCACACUGGAACUGAGACACGGUCCAGACUCCUACGGGAGGCAGCAGUAGGGAAUCUUCCGCAAUGGGCGAAAGCCUGACGGAGCAACGCCGCGUGAGUGAUGAAGGUCUUCGGAUCGUAAAACUCUGUUAUUAGGGAAGAACAUAUGUGUAAGUAACUGUGCACAUCUUGACGGUACCUAAUCAGAAAGCCACGGCUAACUACGUGCCAGCAGCCGCGGUAAUACGUAGGUGGCAAGCGUUAUCCGGAAUUAUUGGGCGAAGCGCGCGUAGGCGGUUUUUUAGUCUGAUGUGAAAGCCCACGGCUCAACCGUGGAGGGUCAUUGGAAACUGGAAAACUUGAGUGCAGAAGAGGAAAGUGGAAUUCCAUGUGUAGCGGUGAAAUGCGCAGAGAUAUGGAGGAACACCAGUGGCGAAGGCGACUUUCUGGUCUGUAACUGACGCUGAUGUGCGAAAGCGUGGGGAUCAAACAGGAUUAGAUACCCUGGUAGUCCACGCCGUAAACGAUGAGUGCUAAGUGUUAGGGGGUUUCCGCCCCUUAGUGCUGCAGCUAACGCAUUAAGCACUCCGCCUGGGGAGUACGACCGCAAGGUUGAAACUCAAAGGAAUUGACGGGGACCCGCACAAGCGGUGGAGCAUGUGGUUUAAUUCGAAGCAACGCGAAGAACCUUACCAAAUCUUGACAUCCUUUGACAACUCUAGAGAUAGAGCUUUCCCCUUCGGGGGACAAAGUGACAGGUGGUGCAUGGUUGUCGUCAGCUCGUGUCGUGAGAUGUUGGGUUAAGUCCCGCAACGAGCGCAACCCUUAAGCUUAGUUGCCAUCAUUAAGUUGGGCACUCUAAGUUGACUGCCGGUGACAAACCGGAGGAAGGUGGGGAUGACGUCAAAUCAUCAUGCCCCUUAUGAUUUGGGCUACACACGUGCUACAAUGGACAAUACAAAGGGCAGCGAAACCGUGAGGUCAAGCAAAUCCCAUAAAGUUGUUCUCAGUUCGGAUUGUAGUCUGCAACUCGACUACAUGAAGCUGGAAUCGCUAGUAAUCGUAGAUCAGCAUGCUACGGUGAAUACGUUCCCGGGUCU
This 1369-nucleotide ribosomal RNA is filed under the name uncultured bacterium. Its description in RNAcentral is "bacterial SSU rRNA". It matches the Rfam family "Bacterial small subunit ribosomal RNA", at positions 28 to 1381 of the family's 1533-position model. The record is from RNAcentral.